CUUUUUGAUAAUAAUUUAAGGUCCGGCCUGCCCAAUGAUUUUUAAAUGGCCGCGGUACUUUGACCGUGCAAAGGUAGCAUAAUCAUUAGUUUUUUAAUUGAAAGCUGGAAUGAAAGGUCAGAUGAGANNAUAGCUGUCUCUAUUUAAAUUUAUUAGAAUUUUAUUUUUAAGUUAAAAAGCUUAAAUAUAUGUAAAAGACGAGAAGACCCUNNAGAGUUUUAUAAUUUUAUUGUUUAGAGUUUUUAGUAUUAUAAUGUUUGAAGAAUAAAAUUAUUUAGUUGGGGUGAUUGAAAAAUUAGAUAAACUUUUUUUAUAUAAAAACAUUGAUUUAUGAAUAUAUGAUCCUUAUUUAGAGAUUAAAAGAAUAAAUUACCUUAGGGAUAACAGCGUAAUUUUUUUUGAGAGUUCAAAUCGAAAAAAAAGAUUGCGNCCUCGAUGUUGGAUUAAAAUUAAUUUUUGGUGUAGGAGCUAAA
Molecule: ribosomal RNA, 473 nt
Filed under: Larinus sturnus
Lineage: Eukaryota; Metazoa; Arthropoda; Insecta; Coleoptera; Curculionidae
Description: partial 16S ribosomal RNA
Rfam family: Bacterial large subunit ribosomal RNA
Source: RNAcentral